This is a long non-coding RNA of Sarcophilus harrisii (Tasmanian devil), 795 nucleotides long. RefSeq lists it as uncharacterized. Lineage: Eukaryota; Metazoa; Chordata; Mammalia; Dasyuromorphia; Dasyuridae. The transcript is spliced from 4 exons. The record is from RefSeq and is a predicted model, not a curated record.
AGGGGGAGGGGUUCAGGUGAAAGGGGCCGGGCUGCGACUUCCGGGGCGGAAACGCACGCCGCCAUCUUGGUUCGAGUUCUAGGUGGUACAGGUUGGCGGCGUGUUCUCCUGUUCUCCUUCCAAGCUCCUUGGGCUGGUUCUGGAGGGAGUGAAGGGAAGAGACCUAGAUCACUUGAGCAAUAAAGAUGGCUAUGACCUCAUGAGCUUCAGAAAGUUAAGAAAGUGACGUCUUGGCCCAUAUUCUCCAGGGAAUGAGCUGUGCUCCAGCACCAUCUCUACAGACUCCAAUGCAAUUUUUCCAUUGAAAACCUUCCACUGCAAACCAACUUUAAGAUGGAUAUCUUCCUCUCUUCUGUGCCUUUCAAAAGUCAACAAAACAGUCCCUGAAGGAGACUUUCCCACAGGGAGAUAGCUGCCCUCAACUUAGAAGACAUCAAGCAAACUUUAUCUGCUCUACAAUUUUGCCCAAGAACAAUUGUGUCUACCCAUGUUCACAAUUUCAUCAAAUAAUAUGUGACCCUUUAUCUGAGAAAUUAAAAUCUUAAAGCAUCACCCCAUUUCCUUCCCAUCACUGUAGAAAAAUACUCAUGUCAGAAUAAUGCUCCUUUUACAUUGAAGUCCUACUUAAGGUCCUCCGGUGGGACCUUUAGUAAUUCAUUUAACUCCUUCAGUUUCCUCAUCUGUUAAAUAAGGGUGCUAAAUAAGAUGUUGUCUAAAGCCCCUUCGAGAUCUAAUAUUAUGACUUUGAAUUAUCUUUUCCUGUGCCGCCCUCCCCUCUCCUCUCUUCUUUUUUCC